GGAUGUGAGGGCGAUCUGGCUGCGACAUCUGUCACCCCAUUGUUCGCCAGGGUUGAUUCGGCUGAUCCGGCUGGCUAGGCGGGUGUCCCCUUCCUCCCUCACCGCUCCAUGUGCAUCUCUCCCGAAGCUGCGUGCUCGGUGGAAGAGGACGACCAUCCCAGAUAGAAGGAGUGUACUGUUCUUCGGUCAAGGGUAUACGAUAGCUGCGCUCCCCUGCUAGAACCUCCAAACAAGCUCAAGGUCCAUUGCAUCAUAAAACUGUCCAGAUGUAGGCAGAUACUUGGAAACAAACUUCCCUGGCUUCAGGAACUCAG
Molecule: small nuclear RNA, 314 nt
Filed under: Pogona vitticeps (central bearded dragon)
Lineage: Eukaryota; Metazoa; Chordata; Lepidosauria; Squamata; Agamidae
Description: 7SK RNA (ENSPVIG00000015330.1)
Rfam family: 7SK RNA
About the family: 7SK was discovered as an abundant small nuclear RNA in the mid-70s but a possible function has only recently been suggested. Two independent studies have found that 7SK RNA binds the CDK9/cyclin T complex (known as elongation factor P-TEFb).
Source: RNAcentral